Molecule: long non-coding RNA, 3722 nt
Organism: Mus musculus (house mouse)
Lineage: Eukaryota; Metazoa; Chordata; Mammalia; Rodentia; Muridae
Product: predicted gene, 53755
Exons: 2
Source: RefSeq, a predicted model, not a curated record
UAAAAAAUAAAAAAACUCUGCACCAGGUCUUCCCCAAGUCCUGAGUCCAGCAAGCAUAUACUCUACAGUCACUGGCAUAAACAGUGAGCCCCAAUGAGCUUCAGCUUUUAGUCAGUAAAUGAAGCAGAUGAGUCGGGAGGUGGUGGAAGUCUCUGAAUACAAGGCUAGCCUGGUCUACAGAGCAGAAUUUCAGGACAGCCAGGGCUACACAAAGUAACCUUGUCUUAAAGAACAAACAAAACAACAGCAGCAACAACAACAAAAACGAAGCAGGGGAUCAUUUGAGAAUCUCUAGUCUUCAAAGUCAUAAUUCUCAUACUUGCCAAAAUGAACAGAAAGAAGAAAAUAAAGCAUAAGGUUCUAGAAGAUGAGUUUUUAUUCUAUGCCUGCGCAGACCAGUGGCUAGCCACAUAGAACUCAAUAGUUGGACCUUUCCCCCCUCCCCCAAAAAACUACCUUGUCUUUGGUAUUUUGAUGAAUAUUUAAAUCAGUCAACAGGAAACACAGUUUUGAAGAAUGAAGUCAUUUCCUUCUGUUUCUACGAUAUACAAUUUCGUCUUUCCAGUAGGAUCUCAGCUGAAUCCGUCAAUGCUAACACAGUGGGUUUUUUUUGGUUUGUUUGUUUGUUUGUUUUUUACCCCCAGUAUAUCAUUUAAAUAUAGCACAGGACUAGCCUGAUGUACCCGAUCUUAUGUCAGGAACACAGUAGGGAUCAUUUGUGACAAAUUAUCUCUUUCAGUGGGGGAACUUGUUUAUGUUGGUUUAGCGUUCCCAUGGGGACUGAGGCCACACAUUGAAUGUCAGUAGGCGAACCAGGGACUCCUUCCCGUAUCUUCUUAGUUCAGGCAAUCCUUUCCCUUUGGGAUGAGAAACCUCAACAUCUGCCCUCCAUCGUCAUUAACUGUUGACCCAGUUUAAGGAUCACAAAGUCUGGCUCGUGUUUUGCUGAGCAGCCUCCAGACUUGCAGAUUUUGUUGUAAAGCAUGGAGCAGAGCAGUUGCUUCGCUAUUCCAUCUCAGGCGAUGAUUGACACACACAAGGCCCACUGUGUAGUAGGCAUGUCAUCUGUUGACGGACCGAAAACGAGCAGUCUGGUAAGGAACUCCAUGCGGUCUGAAGGUGGAGGGAUUGCAUUCACAGUUGGCCUUAAAUAUUCCACUGACUGGCUAGUCCCUCUCCACCCACAGGUAAGUUCCAUGACCUCCCUUCUCUGGCUUGACCCUCCAGGUACAUUCCUCUAAUUCCCCCUUCUUCUCCAUGCAUCCUUUGAUUCUCUGACUCUUACUUACAACUUCAGACUUGGUGCUCGAGGCUGUGGGGGCUUCUGGACACUGUUUCCCAACCAGGGAUUUAAUGAAUAUCAACUCUCAACUCUUUGAUGCUUUCCUCCAUUUUAUAUAGAAAUAAAUUAGUCUUUCCUAUAAAGAUGGUGGGACCUACGGGAAGCGGAAAAGACCAAAAAGCAAAAAGGUUUUUUUUUUGUUUUUUGUUUUUGUAUCCAAUGCCUCUUUCUAUUUCACUCCCUCUCCUUCUGAAUUUUACAACCCUAUCUCUUCUCAGCAGAGAAUAUUGAACAUGAAAUAAUGCUGACAGCUCAAUGCUGUGCCAGGAACAUGAUUUCCAGGGUAACUGAGAAGCCUGCAGGAUGUGGGGGCAGUGGGUCAAACACACUUGACCCCCAGUUGCAAUAAUUUUCCAAUUCAAAUAUCUGGGUUUUAUUGCCGUUGUUUUAAGAAGGUGUCUCUGUUGUUGCCAUGUGUCCCGAGGUGCCUCUUGAUCCCCUUCAACAAGUUGUCUCUAAUCUACUUUGAGCUAAGGAAGCAGCUUGUCAGAUUCACAGGAUCUUGUGUAAAAGGAGAGAUGUGUGUUGACUGACAGUAAGAAGGUGGAAGUGAACUCCGGGAGCCCUGUGAAUGAGCUCUGUGGUGUUUAUUUCAGCUGCUCGGAGCCCCCUUUCCUGUGCCAUGUUCUCUGUGGCUGAGACUAUUGGAAAAAUGACCUCUGGGUAGUGUGAGCAUCAGAGGACUAACAGGUGCCAAGAGCUUCGGCUCAGCUUAGUCUUCGGUAUUGACCGGGUCUACUGGAACUGCUGUUUAUUCUUCAACACCGCAGCCUCCACAGUUCUCCACUUCACUUCUGCAACUUGACCAGUCCUGAGGCUCAAACCUGUGACCUGAUAACGUGAGUCUGCAGCAGCACUCUCAGCUGACGCCUACGGGGAUUUCCCUGGGGUGCACGCAUGCACCCAAACGUGCAUUUGCAGCCUAGUGGGAACAUUGUGUGUCUUUCUCUAUUGAUCUCCACCUUGUUCCUCUGAGACAGGGUCUCUCCCUGAACACAAAACUCACAGCUAGAGUGACCUGCUGAUGAGUUCCCAGGAACCUCUGUCCCUUUCCCUCCAGUGUUGGGGUAAUAGCAAUAUGCAACCAAGCCUUUUUGUUGUUGUUGUUGUUGUUGUUGUUGUUGUUGUUGUGUUUUUGUUUUUAUAAGGCACCAGGGAUUCAUCCUCUGGUCUUCAUACUUGCAUAGCAAAUCCUUUUACCCUGCCAAAUCAUCUUCUCAGCCCCUACAGAGAUUGUUUUUGCUUCUCUCUCAGCUUCCCUCUCCGGCUACUGUUAGAACCCUUCGAAACUCCUUGAACUCUGCUGCAGCCUCUUUAUCUUUCCUGCCGCCAUUACGCAACCUACAAAAAUAUACCUUUACAGAUAUAUUUACAGUGUGAUACCUAGUGUGGUCAGAGACUUAAUAUUAGUGGCUAGUAUUGGAAUAAAAGGACCUGUAUUUGUCUUGCCUGGCUCUGAAGGAAGUCGGAUCACCUGGCAAAGGAAGCUACUGCGCCUUGAGGAUUUACUGUAUUCGAUAAAUUCUGACACGGAGGCAGACACACGGGUUCAUCUGUGCUUCUGGUGUGAUGUGUCCGUGUCAUGGGUUUAGGAUCGUGCCCAGGCUCUGGAGUUGGGUGCUCUCCCCCACAGAGUCUAGCAGGCUCUUCUGAGUAUCUACAGGUACCACCAUUGCACCUGUUGACACACAGAAAAUUGCAACAUAAACAGAGCUGUAAGCUACAGAAUGACAUCUUGGUAAAUGAUAGACCCUUUGUAUAAUGGUGGCUCGCUAUGAUUGUAUCGCACUGAGGCUCGGAGUAGCCACCACAAUUUGUAUAACUGCACAGGAUGGUUCUUCCCCAAGCAAACAGGUCUCCAUUGUUAGAUGACAUAUGAUUGUGCCUAGGUAGAUAAAUACUUAGGCAAAUUAAGGUCCUUCAGAACUGGCUCUUUAUCUUACCUACCUCCAUGUGGUUUUUAGAGCUGAAUAAUAGUUUCCUCAUUAGAAAUAAAGCAAACUAAGAAUGUAAAAGGCCAUUAGCUCAGCCUGGUCUACAGAGUGAGUUCCAGGACAGCCAGGGCUAUACAGAGAAACCCUGUCUCUAAAAACCAAAAAAAAAAAAAAAAGGUCAUUAGCUGUCUGUUGUCUUUAGUCUCGUACUGUCCAACCGGGAAGCCACCAGCUCCAAGAGGCUAUUGAGCACUUGAAAUUCAGCUUGUAUAAAUGAAGGCACGUUGUAAAUAUUCUUGGGUGUAAUUACAAAAUACGCUGGGCUUUGAGGGCUUACAGAAAAGAGAAUGUAAAAAUAUACCAUUGUUCAUUUUGCCUAUUGGUUGUAUGUGGAAGUAAUUUCAUUUGGGGAUGUAGUGGGUUAAAUAAAAUUAAAUUGCCAAUUA